This 77-nucleotide transfer RNA is filed under the name Thermoprotei archaeon. RNAcentral describes it as "tRNA-Asn". It matches the Rfam family "tRNA". Rfam says of the family: Transfer RNA (tRNA) molecules are approximately 80 nucleotides in length. Their secondary structure includes four short double-helical elements and three loops (D, anti-codon, and T loops). RNAcentral also lists the same sequence under 1 other name. Lineage: Archaea; Thermoproteati; Thermoproteota; Thermoprotei. The record is from RNAcentral.
GCCGGGGUAGCUUAGCCAGGUAGAGCGCCCGGCUGUUAACCGGGCGGUCGUGGGUUCAAAUCCCACCCCCGGCGCCA